AUCCGAAAUAUGGUUGGUUUUAGGAUUAUUCUAGAGGAGUACUGCUCUACAUCGAGCUAGAAGAUGAAUCUUCUCGAAUCCCUUUUAUACUUUAGCCCAAGGACACUAGCUCAGAUGCGGCACAUAGUUAGGGAUAUACCUGGCAUUGUAGAGCAUAGUGGGGCACUACAAUACCUGGGAGUCCUCAUGACUGGCAGAAGGCUGAGGAGGGCUG
Molecule: long non-coding RNA, 214 nt
Filed under: Elaeis guineensis (African oil palm)
Lineage: Eukaryota; Viridiplantae; Streptophyta; Magnoliopsida; Arecales; Arecaceae
Description: long non-coding RNA (EGUI_LNC025312)
Source: RNAcentral